UUCGAGUUCCAGAUCCGGUGAUUCCCCACCAACCAAUCUACUACCUCAGGUACUCCCCCUGGUAGGUUGCUGGGAUAAAACUUUGACACGCUAGCACAGAUGCCUUCGCCAUAAGGCGUGGGGGGCACUAAAAAUUUCCAACUCCCGGCGCAAAAACUUGAAACACACUAUCAGCUUGCAAAAUUUUCGCACUAGAACGCCACCAGUCCUCCCCAAGUGCAGCCACACCUACCUGAGCACCGAUGCGACGCCUCCUUCUCGAGCCCCGCCACUCCUUCCCGAGCGCCUCCGCGGCCCCUCCGCCCGCUCCUCCCCCGAGCACCGCCUCCUCCCCAAGUGUCACCACGCCUUCCUCUCCGAGCGUCACCACGCCUUCCUCUCCGAGCGCCGCCGUGCCUCCUCA
This 403-nucleotide long non-coding RNA is filed under the name Setaria viridis. RNAcentral's name for it is "long non-coding RNA (SVIR_LNC010733)". Lineage: Eukaryota; Viridiplantae; Streptophyta; Magnoliopsida; Poales; Poaceae. The record is from RNAcentral.